GAAAUGCUGGAGAAAGGAUACAGCGGUGGUGUAGCUCUGACUCUGGCAGUAGUGAAUGACAGCUGAUAAUGAGAUGUUUUGAUACUGAAGGAACUAGGAAGCACUACCUUGGUUUCAUCAAAACACUUAUUUAUAAGCAUGGCAGGACAACUACAUCAUUCAUCAUUGUUUUCAUCAGAGAUGAAAGAGCUGAAAUAUGACUCAUCAUUCAUUCUGGAGAAUAUCCCCAAGGGCCCCAAACAUGAUGUGCUGAGAGACUUCUUCACCCGCUCUAAGCCCUCCCUCCUGAGCUUACCACCUGCGCAGGUAAUUCAGAGUAAAUUUCCACUGCCUCUGCUGUUAAGAGUCUGUCAUCGGCACUCUUAA
This is a non-coding RNA of Pimephales promelas (fathead minnow), 366 nucleotides long. The record is from RefSeq and is a predicted model, not a curated record. NCBI's taxonomy places the organism in Eukaryota, Metazoa, Chordata, Actinopteri, Cypriniformes, Leuciscidae.